CCCGUGUUGAGUCAAAUUAAGCCGCAGGCUCCACUCCUGGUGGUGCCCUUCCGUCAAUUCCUUUAAGUUUCAGCUUUGCAACCAUACUUCCCCCGGAACCCAAAAGCUUUGGUUUCCCGGAGGCUGCCCGCCGAGUCAUCGGAGGAACUGCGGCGGAUCGCUGGCUGGCAUCGUUUAUGGUUAGAACUAGGGCGGUAUCUGAUCGCCUUCGAACCUCUAACUUUCGUUCUUGAUUAAUGAAAAACAUACUUGGCAAAUGCUUUCGCUUCUGUUCGUCUUGCGACGAUCCAAGAAUUUCACCUCUAACGUCGCAAUACGAAUGCCCCCGCCUGUCCCUAUUAAUCAUUACC
Schistocerca cancellata (South American locust) is the source of this 350-nucleotide long non-coding RNA. RefSeq lists it as uncharacterized. NCBI's taxonomy places the organism in Eukaryota, Metazoa, Arthropoda, Insecta, Orthoptera, Acrididae. The record is from RefSeq and is a predicted model, not a curated record. The transcript is spliced from 2 exons.